Ctenopharyngodon idella (grass carp) is the source of this 1251-nucleotide long non-coding RNA. RefSeq lists it as uncharacterized. The transcript is spliced from 4 exons. The record is from RefSeq and is a predicted model, not a curated record. NCBI's taxonomy places the organism in Eukaryota, Metazoa, Chordata, Actinopteri, Cypriniformes, Xenocyprididae.
UGGAAAAACAUCAUGAAAAAAGUGAAAAAAUAAAAAGCGCAUCUGUAAAGGGAGUAUAAUCUGAAACUUUUAGAAGAAAAUUAAUUAAUUUUUACCCUAAAUUAAAAAUGUGUUAGUUUAAGGACAUAAUGUUACUUUAUUCUGCUGGCUGGAUGUUUAAAGGUGCCCUAGAAUGUCAAUUUCACAAGAUGUAAUAUAAAUCUAAGGUGUCCCCAGAAUGUGUCUGUGAAGUUUCAGCUCAAAAUACCCCAUAGAUUUUUUAUUAUACCAUGUUUUAACUGCCUAUUUUGGGUUGGGAGGAAAAAUGCUCUGAUCUGUGUGUGUACACCUUUAAAUGCUCGUGCUCCCCGCCCCCAAACUUGCGACUCCAUUAAACCCUGCAUAAAUACUACAGAAGUUCACAAUAUAACUGUUAAAAUGGAUCUUUACAAACUGUUCGUGAUGCAGCAUAUCAGAUCACAUGCUUUGUAGUAUUCCCGCCAAAAAGAAACGAAUGAAUGAAUGAUGGAUUCUACAGCACUUUACUAUGUUCUACUGUACACUUAGAGGUCUCUCCUCACCCAUCAUGAUGUUCCUCCUCCACUUCACUCAGAAACAGAGGAUUUCUUAAAACUGUGACACCCAGGAAGUGACAUCAUCUGGGCUCUUUCUACAGCAUGAUGGGAGGACAAGAAAAUGAUCUCAAUCCAUUUUUACACAAACUGUACAGUGUUGAUCACAUUCAUCAACGCUGUUACCAAAGUUACUUCUUUGCAGAUUUCAGCUCUUCCUGAUGCUCUGAUGCUCGUCUGAUGGGAAUAUUCCAGCAUUUAUUGGAGAACUGUUGUGGGAGGAGCCUCACUGAUGAUGUGAUUGUUGUGGGAGGAGCUUCACUGAGGAUAUUAUUGCUCACCCUAACAUUAUUCUGUUUCUUCAUUUAAAUAUAGUCAGAUAUCUAAAAUGUGGAAAGUAAAAUAAUGUAAAUUCUUCCAAAUAUAAGUAAUGGUAUACAAAACAGUUGUAUGCAUAAAGACAAAAAUAAAUGUAUAACCAUCAAAUCCCCUCAGUCUGGUGACACCAGGGAUGGACUGGGACCAAAAAUCAGCCCUGGCAUUUUGGCCCAGACCAGCCCACCACCACAUAAGAUCACAAAUACCACCCGUCCUUGCGCUCCCCUGCCCUGAAUAGGUAUACGAACUCCUACUCUUUAAAACUACUAACGCCAUGUAAUGUGUAAGCAAGAAUCAGUGAGAGUUGACACAUUGUACUUCA